GCCCCCAUAGUUGAAUCACAACAAAAGCUUUUCAAGCUUUAAAUUUGAGUUAGAAUCUCAAUGGGAGCU
RNAcentral lists this transfer RNA (69 nucleotides) under Tripneustes gratilla elatensis. RNAcentral describes it as "tRNA-Glu". It matches the Rfam family "tRNA". From Rfam's summary of the family: Transfer RNA (tRNA) molecules are approximately 80 nucleotides in length. Their secondary structure includes four short double-helical elements and three loops (D, anti-codon, and T loops). Lineage: Eukaryota; Metazoa; Echinodermata; Echinoidea; Temnopleuroida; Toxopneustidae. The record is from RNAcentral.